GACGAACGCUGGCGGCGUGCCUAAUACAUGCAAGUAGAACGCUGAAGAGAGGAGCUUGCUCUUCUUGGAUGAGUUGCGAACGGGUGAGUAACGCGUAGGUAACCUGCCUUGUAGCGGGGGAUAACUAUUGGAAACGAUAGCUAAUACCGCAUAACAAUGGAUGACACAUGUCAUUUAUUUGAAAGGGGCAAUUGCUCCACUACAAGAUGGACCUGCGUUGUAUUAGCUAGUAGGUGAGGUAAUGGCUCACCUAGGCGACGAUACAUAGCCGACCUGAGAGGGUGAUCGGCCACACUGGGACUGAGACACGGCCCAGACUCCUACGGGAGGCAGCAGUAGGGAAUCUUCGGCAAUGGGGCAACCCUGACCGAGCAACGCCGCGUGAGUGAAGAAGGUUUUCGGAUCGUAAAGCUCUGUUGUAAGUCAAGAACGGGUGUGAGAGUGGAAAGUUCACACUGUGACGGUAGCUUACCAGAAAGGGACGGCUAACUACGUG
This 496-nucleotide ribosomal RNA is filed under the name uncultured bacterium. Its description in RNAcentral is "partial 16S ribosomal RNA". It matches the Rfam family "Bacterial small subunit ribosomal RNA", at positions 28 to 507 of the family's 1533-position model. The record is from RNAcentral.